RNAcentral lists this ribosomal RNA (465 nucleotides) under uncultured bacterium. Its description in RNAcentral is "partial 16S ribosomal RNA". It matches the Rfam family "Bacterial small subunit ribosomal RNA", at positions 338 to 795 of the family's 1533-position model. The record is from RNAcentral.
CCUACGGGAGGCUGCAGUAGGGAAUCUUCCACAAUGGGCGAAAGCCUGAUGGAGCAACGCCGCGUGGGUGAAGAAGGUCUUCGGAUCGUAAAACACUGUUGUUAGAGAAGAAAGUGCGUGAGAGUAACUGUUCACGUUUCGACGGUAUCUAACCAGAAAGCCACGGCUAACUACGUGCCAGCAGCCGCGGUAAUACGUAGGUGGCAAGCGUUAUCCGGAUUUAUUGGGCGUAAAGGGAACGCAGGCGGUCUUUUAAGUCUGAUGUGAAAGCCUUCGGCUUAACCGGAGUAGUGCAUUGGAAAAUGGGAGACUUGAGUGCAGAAGAGGAGAGUGGAACUCCAUGUGUAGCGGUGAAAUGCGUAGAUAUAUGGAAGAACACCAGUGGCGAAAGCGGCUCUCUGGUCUGUAACUGACGCUGAGGUUCGAAAGCGUGGGUAGCAAACAGGAUUAGAUACCCGAGUAGUC